Molecule: long non-coding RNA, 2077 nt
Organism: Dreissena polymorpha
Lineage: Eukaryota; Metazoa; Mollusca; Bivalvia; Myida; Dreissenidae
Exons: 2
Source: RefSeq, a predicted model, not a curated record
GUCUAAUCAGUGCUUACAAUGGUACGGUGUUGCCUUCAAAAUACCUACAAUCAUCAUCAGAAUAAAUCAAUUUGGGGGGUAACGUUACAUUUCCGCUAUUUCUAAAAAUAAAAUCGGGCGACCUUUUGUGUCCAAAAUGUUACGUCUCGAAAAAUCAAUUUUUUUACGAUAACGCUGUUUACUUUCACAUAUCGGUUGCGCAAAGGCGCCGGAAAAUAACUGCACACAUUAUUUGAUGACGUAGAACGCAUUCAACGAAUUUGUGUACACAAAAGCUGACAACAUGGCCGAAUCUUCGACACGAGUUCGGUAAGUGAAGAGAGUUACGUCUGAAAUAACCUAACCUAGCCUUAAACAUCCGAGUUUUUUUGUGAAACGACAUGCCUUAGGUAUCGUUUUAUUGUUUUAAAGUAAUUCGAAUAGAAUUAUGAUUUGACUUUGGUACGAAAAUAAAAUGCAAAUGAAUAAAGGACGACAGAACUGCAAGAUUCAAUGGCGAUGUUCAAAAUAGACGUCGUGUCCAAGUUACAUCUUAGGAAUGAAAAUGCAUUUAGUCGUCUUUGUUGUCUGCUACGACUUAUAUUUUCCCACAUACUUGUGCCUGGAUGGAAACAAAUUAGAGAUUACCCUGUUCCAUGUUUUAAAUUGUUAUGUUUAACCAAAUACAGUGUUUGAACAAAAGAUGUAACGUGGACUACAUUUUCGACAUAAAGGAUGUAACUUGGACUACAAUUAAUUGGGAAACCCAUUGGAACUGUUUUUUUUAAAUUGAGUAGUAACAUAAAAGAUGGGUAUAUGCUGCAAAGGGUUAAUGUCAUUCACAGUUAUUUUUAAGAAUUCAUUUUCUUUCUAGUUUGAAACUAUAUUGAACUGUCUUUGAAAUUUGAAAUCAAUGUCUGGCAAACUUUUAAUAUGUUUGUAUACAUGUAUAUAUUUAAUAAAUUUAUAAUUUGAUUUUUGGAGAUAAUUCAGAAUUUCAAAUAAAGGUGUUUUUUUAAUGAGACAAUUUCUUGUUCCAAACCAUAAACGACACUUAAGUACUGAAGUGAGCAUUUAAUAGGAAGCAGCUAAACAUGCCAUUGAAUCAAGCAAGCAUUUGUUUUAAAGCUAGAAACACCUUACUUGUUAUAAGUAACAAUAGUAUAGAAGCUUUUGUUUUACUAUAUAAGCAGCAACUUUAACUCAAUAGUUAACAACUAAACAUGUAUUACAUUUUAGGUGGAUGAAUGGCCGUGGGUCAUAUUCUUCAAGAAAUAUAAAGAUAAUGCAUGGGUUAUGAAUGAAAUAAGGCAUACCAUCCUUGAAUCAGAUAUCCAGAGAAAGUUGGAACCACCUAAAGUGUCCAAGCUAGGUUGUCGGCUACUUUACAGAUUUGAAAGUUACAAGGAAGACAAGUGAAGCAGAGAGAGAGGGAGAAAUACCAUGUUUGCAGUUUAGAGUUUGCUGUUGUUUUAGUCUGUGAAAAUCUCAGAAUAAAUAAUAUGUUAAUUACUAUCUGUCUCCUUAAAAGCUAUUAUUUUUUUAUUACCCUGCAAGUUAAAAUCCGUUUAUCUGAUUGGUCAAUAUGCACUGAAUAUAGUUUAAUAUUCCUUGUCAUUCAUAUAUUGAUAUAAAAUCAGAUUUGUGGUUUAAUUUUUGAAGGUGUUUAGCCCCUUUUAAGUUCUGUAAUGUGCUUAGUUUUUUAUUUUGAAAAGUGAACCAAUUAACUAACCAAUUAGCUAACCAAUUAGUUAACAUUGUUUAAUGCAGGUUGGAAUUAAUGCUGAAAUAUAGGAGCUUUCAGCAUUUCUUUCAAUCAGCAUUAAACUACAUACAUGAAAAGGUGAAAAUAGGAUAAACUUCGGUUAUCUCUUCGCAAUUUGUCUGAUUUCUUUGACAUCGAGAUAACGAGAGUCAUUUUGUCGUCCAAUGUUAGUCUCUGAUUUCUAAAAACAUGUCAGAAUUGUCAUUUAUAAUCAAGAAUUAUGAACUGCUAUCGUUUUAAAUGUUUCUAAGUAACUAGUCUUUCAUUUGGAAUCAAAGAAAGGAAAAACUUUUGAUUAUUUUAAUGUUUUUUAUUGAAUAAAUGUUCAAUUUU